This is a long non-coding RNA of Pomacea canaliculata, 1360 nucleotides long. RefSeq lists it as uncharacterized. The record is from RefSeq and is a predicted model, not a curated record. NCBI's taxonomy places the organism in Eukaryota, Metazoa, Mollusca, Gastropoda, Architaenioglossa, Ampullariidae. The transcript is spliced from 3 exons.
AGUUGAACAAUUUAGUUUGCAAAUAUAGAGCAAUGCAAGCUUGUAGGAAAAAUACUUUUUUUUUAAGAUCAGCAGACGAUCGAUUCCUAUCGAUAUAAGGCAAAAUCUGAUUGGUUAGACCUUAAACUUUCGCACAUGCGCCUCAGUCUUUACUUCCUCUGUUUUGAUCGUCUGCGCCGAUAGUCCUAAAACUGCUAAAUGCAGCAUUUAAGAAAGUAAUAAUUCGAUAUAUAUAUAUGUACUGUGUUCCAGAAUCUGAAACUGCAAGCGAAUGUAAAGAAUGUGCAACUACAUUUCACUGCCAACAGAUGAAACUAUUGCUGAGCUCAUCACCCUAUCCUAUGCAUCAGCAACAGAGCUUAUUAGUGGCAGCAGCUAUUGCUCUAAAAACCUAAAUGGAUGGAUGUACGAAGAAAGACAAACACAGCAGAAAGCAAAAGGCAGAUAGACUGGAUUUUUCAAACCAAUUGAAGGUGACGUACUUGUGACCUGGCCUAGCAAGCUGACAAGAAAUUUAACUGCUAGCAAGGAAGAAGGACGAGAUUACUGUGUGCUGUCCAUAGACUACAUCACUUGGUGAUAGUUGUUAGCAGGGGUUGUUGGCGGAGUAAAGAAGGCUUGAAGAGAAUUGGUUUGUUAUUGGUAAAUCCUCGCUCGAAUAGCAGAAACGGACAUUUAUAACAGCAAGGGAAAGGUGGCGAAAUCCCAUACGUCUUCCAUGGGCUGUGCACUAGACGUCCUGUACUGCUCAGUUUUUAUUCCUCGUUCCGUCGUUCCUUCGUUCAGCAUAAAUUAGCCCUUAAACGACCCUAGCGGGUACGACAGGAUUCUUGGCCUCACAAAGAACAUGUAAGUGGUCCUCCAUUAGCUUAAUUCUCGCAGUGUAAUGAGACACGUGAUGCUUUAUACAGUUCCUUCCUAUAUAAGAGCUGUUGUAUGUUGUUUAGCCUGCACAGUCUUUUUUUUCUUAUUGUGGAACAUUUGACCAAGUCAGGCACAGUUUCUGUGCAAAUGUCACAGAAAACCAGUGACUUUGGAGCUGACGCUCGAGACUUUGGAACUUUUGUCAACAUGCUAAGCUAUAGGUGACGAUAGUUUGGCAAUAUAAUAAAACUUCGAGGGACUUCAGAAGUUUGACGCUUCGGCCUUUCGCGCAGUUCAAAACUUAAACUAGAAUACCCUGUUUUUUAGAAUUCUUGUCAUAUAGUGUUUUCUACACCUGCUGUAAUUCACAUGCUUUUAUUUGUCUUCAAACAUUCCAUUGCAGCUGGAAACACUAUUUUGCGUUGACAGUUCACUUUAUAUACAUUUUUUCUUUCCGAUCGGAUCCUCGAAGCAUAGUUUCCCCACCACAGAAUCC